RNAcentral lists this ribosomal RNA (886 nucleotides) under uncultured bacterium. Its description in RNAcentral is "bacterial SSU rRNA". It matches the Rfam family "Bacterial small subunit ribosomal RNA", at positions 515 to 1397 of the family's 1533-position model. The record is from RNAcentral.
CCGCGGUAAUACGUAGGGUGCGAGCGUUAUCCGGAAUUAUUGGGCGUAAAGAGCUCGUAGGCGGUUUGUCGCGUCUGUCGUGAAAGUCCGGGGCUUAACCCCGGAUCUGCGGUGGGUACGGGCAGACUAGAGUGCAGUAGGGGAGACUGGAAUUCCUGGUGUAGCGGUGGAAUGCGCAGAUAUCAGGAGGAACACCGAUGGCGAAGGCAGGUCUCUGGGCUGUAACUGACGCUGAGGAGCGAAAGCAUGGGGAGCGAACAGGAUUAGAUACCCUGGUAGUCCAUGCCGUAAACGUUGGGCACUAGGUGUGGGGACCAUUCCACGGUUUCCGCGCCGCAGCUAACGCAUUAAGUGCCCCGCCUGGGGAGUACGGCCGCAAGGCUAAAACUCAAAGGAAUUGACGGGGGCCCGCACAAGCGGCGGAGCAUGCGGAUUAAUUCGAUGCAACGCGAAGAACCUUACCAAGGCUUGACAUGUUCUCGAUCGCCGUAGAGAUACGGUUUCCCCUUUGGGGCGGGUUCACAGGUGGUGCAUGGUUGUCGUCAGCUCGUGUCGUGAGAUGUUGGGUUAAGUCCCGCAACGAGCGCAACCCUCGUUCCAUGUUGCCAGCACGUAAUGGUGGGGACUCAUGGGAGACUGCCGGGGUCAACUCGGAGGAAGGUGAGGACGACGUCAAAUCAUCAUGCCCCUUAUGUCUUGGGCUUCACGCAUGCUACAAUGGCCGGUACAAUGGGUUGCGAUACUGUGAGGUGGAGCUAAUCCCAAAAAGCCGGUCUCAGUUCGGAUUGGGGUCUGCAACUCGACCCCAUGAAGUCGGAGUCGCUAGUAAUCGCAGAUCAGCAACGCUACGGUGAAUACGUUCCCGGGCCUUGCACACACCGCCCGU